Long non-coding RNA from Mauremys reevesii (Reeves's turtle), 358 nucleotides. RefSeq lists it as uncharacterized. The record is from RefSeq and is a predicted model, not a curated record. Lineage: Eukaryota; Metazoa; Chordata; Testudines; Geoemydidae. The transcript has 2 exons.
AGGGAGCUGGAUUGCGAAGGGCUGGGAGCUGGACUGUGGUCAGGAAGGGAAGCACCACCAGACUCAUAAGCUCAGGUUUUCCCUCCGGGAGAAACAGCAUCAGAUUUCAACAACAAUGGCAAUAACAAGCACUCCAGCCCAUCUCAACUAACUUUUUUCCCUUUCCCCACAAAAGGACAAUUAUUACCAUCUAAGACACUGUCAGACAAGGGGGAUUUUCCUUCUAAAGACACUCUACAGCUAAAGGGAAAGAGGACAAGGGAUACUUAAAAGGAAAGCCUUACUUAAUACUUUACCUUUCAAAUGUUUUAACUGUUUUUCCUUUUUUUUCUGUAUCUUUAUUAAAGGGUUAAAACUA